AAUCUUCCACAAUGGGCGACAGUCUGAUGGAGCAACGCCGCGUGAGUGAAGAAGGAUUUCGGUUCGUAAAACUCUGUUGUUAGGGAAGAACAAGUACAGUAGUAACUGGCUGUACCUCGACGGUACCUUAUUAAAAAGUCACGGCUAACUACGUGCCAGCAGCCGCGGUAAUACUCAGGUGGCAUGCGUGGUCCGGAAUUAUUGGGCGUAAAGCGCGCGCAGGUGGUUUCUUAAGUUUGAUGUGAAAGCCCACGGCUCAACCGUGGAGGGUCAUUGGAAACUGGGAGACUUGAGUGCAGAAGAGGAUAGUGGAAUUCCAAGUGUAGCGGUGAAAUGCGUAGAGAUUUGGAGGAACACCAGUGGCGAAGGCGACUAUCUGGUCUGUAACUGACACUGAGGCGCGAAAGCGUGGGGAGCAAACA
Molecule: ribosomal RNA, 422 nt
Filed under: uncultured bacterium
Lineage: Bacteria
Description: partial 16S ribosomal RNA
Rfam family: Bacterial small subunit ribosomal RNA
Source: RNAcentral